This 660-nucleotide ribosomal RNA is filed under the name uncultured marine bacterium. Its description in RNAcentral is "bacterial SSU rRNA". It matches the Rfam family "Bacterial small subunit ribosomal RNA", at positions 823 to 1482 of the family's 1533-position model. The record is from RNAcentral.
UUGGGGGGAUUUACCCCUUAGUGGCGAAGCUAACGCGUUAAGUUAUCCGCCUGGGGAGUACGGCCGCAAGGUUAAAACUCAAAGGAAUUGACGGGGACCCGCACAAGCGGUGGAGCAUGUGGUUUAAUUCGAUGCAACGCGAAGAACCUUACCUGGUCUUGACAUCCUGAGAACUUUCUAGAAAUGGAUUGGUGCCUUCGGGAACUCAGUGACAGGUGCUGCAUGGCUGUCGUCAGCUCGUGUCGUGAGAUGUUGGGUUAAGUCCCGUAACGAGCGCAACCCCUAUCCUUAUUUGCCAGCACAUCAUGGUGGGAACUAUAAGGAGACUGCCGGUGAUAAACCGGAGGAAGGCGGGGACGACGUCAAGUCAUCAUGGCCCUUACGACCAGGGCUACACACGUGCUACAAUGGGAAGGACAAAGAGCCGCGAAGCCGCGAGGUGUAGCUAAUCUCAGAAACCUUUUCGUAGUCCGGAUUGGAGUCUGCAACUCGACUCCAUGAAGUCGGAAUCGCUAGUAAUCGUAGAUCAGAAUGCUACGGUGAAUACGUUCCCGGGUCUUGUACACACCGCCCGUCAUACCAUGGGAGUGGGUUGCACCAGAAGUGGCUAGUCUAACUUUAUUGAGGACGGUCACCACGGUGUGAUUCAUGACUGGGGUA